UAGUCAUAUGCUUGUCUUAAAGAUUAAGCCAUGCAUGUCUAAGUAUAAGCACUUGUACUGUGAAACUGCGAAUGGCUCAUUAUAUCAGUUAUAAUUUAUUUGAUGGUCAUUUACUUGGAUAACCGUGGUAAAUCUAGAGCUAAUACAUGCAUAAAAUCCUGACUGGGAACGGAAAGGAUGUAUUUAUUAGAUACAAAAACCAAUGCAUCAGGCCUUCGCGGGCUUGGUGGAAAACAUGGUGAUUCAUGAUAACUUUACGAAUCGUGUGGUCUCGUACCGACGAUAGUUCAUUCAAAUUUCUGCCCUAUCAACUUUCGAUGGUAGUAUAGAGGACUACCAUGGUGGUAACGGGUAACGGAGAAUCAGGGUUUGAUUCCGGAGAAGGAGCCUGAGAAACGGCUACUACUUCCAAGGAAGGCAGCAGGCGCGCAAAUUACCCAAUCCCGACACGGGGAGGUAGUGACAAAAAAUAACAAUACCGGUCUUUUAUAAGUCUGGUAAUUGGAAUGAGUACAAUCUAAACCCCUUAACGAGUAUCAAUUG
This 543-nucleotide ribosomal RNA is filed under the name uncultured eukaryote. RNAcentral's name for it is "SSU rRNA". It matches the Rfam family "Eukaryotic small subunit ribosomal RNA", at positions 21 to 550 of the family's 1831-position model. The record is from RNAcentral.